AGAAAGACUUUUUAACAAAUUAGCUGCCCUAGUAAAUUUCUCAUACUGAAUGGAAGUAACCCAUAAUGAGAGGUCCCCCAAGCUCCCGACAAACCCUGAACCAGUCUUGUAAACCUUUGUUCUUUCUUGGGGCUAUGGCCGCUCUGCAUUCCUGCGUGGCUUGCUCAUAAAUAAGCUAUUCUACCAGAGGUGCGGCUUGCUCUGAAUCUCCAAAAAUACGCUCUGCUGCCUCUGUCAUUCUGGCCACAAAAUCUGAGAAUGACUCCUGAGGUCCCUGGACGAUCUUUGUUAGUUGUCCAGUGGCCUCACCUGCUCGGGAGAGCGCCUUCCAGGCCCUAAUAGCCUUUUCAUCUGAUUCAGAACUACUAAGAACUGGCUCCUUGAGCUCAUCUAGUGAUGAGUAUAGGCUCCUUCUCCUAGAGACCUCCGCUAAUUGAUCUUUUUUCUUUUCCUUCCUUCUAAUCUCUCCCCAGGUAUUCUUACCUGACCUAAACUUUUCCUCAGGUUCAAGACCCGUGGAAAGGCCUAUAUACUUAUUUUGUGUACAAUAUUUCCUCUUUGCUCCUACUCUCUCUCCCCGCUUUACUUCUGAUAGAUUGCCCUGAAUUUCAUCCAGAAUUUUCAGCCCUGCCUUAACCGCUUGAUAACAUGUGAAAAGGAACAAAAGGGCUCCUAACACUAGAAAAAGUUCAAGGCCAAACAUACCUUGUAAAGCUAUUUCCCACUUUACUUCUGAUAGACUGUCUUGAAUUUCGUUAGAAAGUUCAAGACCAGACUUACCUUGUAAAGCUAUACUUACGGGUACCCUGUUCCCCAGCUGAAGAGUUCUGAAUUCACGCAGUUGAAUCCUUCUCAACAGUCUGUGUUACGGGAACACUUCAUUACCACCGUUCCCCAGCUGAAGAGUUCUGAAUUCACACAGUUGAAUCCUUCUCAACAGUCUGUUUUACGGGAACACUUCAUUACCACCAUUCCCCAGCUGAGGAGUUCUGAAUCCAGGCUGGAUCCUUCUCAACAGUCUGUUUUACGGGAACACUUCAUUACCAUGACCCGCAGUUCUGGUUCCAGAAUGAGGGAUCUUCCUUGCGCCGGUGAUGGUAACCGUCCCAGGUUUUCUCGUCCCAGGUCUUCUCGUCCUAGGUCUUCUCGUCCCAGGUCUUCUCGUCCCGGGUCUCAGCACCAACUCUUACCCGCGUUCUCACGACCGGCCAGGAAGAACACAACAAACCGGAAUCUUCUGCGGCAAAGCUUUAUUGCUUACAUCUUCAGGAGCCAGAGCGCAAGAGCGCAAGAGUGCAAGAGAGCAAGAGCAAGAGAGAGAGAAAGAACAAGAACAAGAAAGCAAGAGAGCAAGAAUGAGAAAACAAGAGAGAGAAAAAGAAUGGCAAAACCCCGUCCCUUUUAAGGAGAAUUAUCCUCCGCCUAGGACGUAUUACUCCCUGAUUGGCUGCAGCCCAUCGGCCCAGUUGUCAUCACGAGAAAGGCAGAACACAUGGCGGGAAAACUGCCCCUGCACGUGUGCAGAUUAUGUUUACCACUUAGAACACAGCUGUCAGCGCCAUCUUAUAAUGGCAAAUGUGAGGGCGGCUCCCAACACCCAUUCCUUUCCUUUUGUUUGUGUUCUUCACUAUGAAAUACAGAUAAGUGUUCUUUAAGAUCUCUAACCCUCCUGUGUCUCUUCCAUAGAGACUGACACCAUGUGAGGGAAGGGGUGGUGUCUAUAAUUCUGCUCUACAAAGCACAGAACUCAGUAGGAGCCAGGACCUGGUAAAGCAUUAUUAAUUCUGAGACUUUUAGUCAGGGUGCUGGAGGGCUUGGCAGACAUGAAUUAAUGGGCACUUUCUCUCAACUCAGUUUUUCUGGGCUCACUGAUGGUAGGUAGUAUGCUUGGGGUUCUCUGAAUCCACCACCUCUAAGAGGCCUUGGCCAGGUUGUAGGAUGGUGUCCUUGUAAAGCCAGUACCAGGGAAUGCCAGGACCAGGAAGAGGGCUUAGGUGGGUUGGGGAGCAGGGUGGGAAGAGUGCAUAGGGGACUUUCGGAGAGGAAAUUAGGAAAGGGCUUAGCAUUUAAAAUGUAAAUGUAGAAAAUAUCUAAUAAAAAAUCAACAAAAAAAAAGGACGGAAGGAAGG
This 2129-nucleotide long non-coding RNA is filed under the name Mus musculus (house mouse). RNAcentral describes it as "long non-coding RNA chr15:32785066-32787195". The record is from RNAcentral. Lineage: Eukaryota; Metazoa; Chordata; Mammalia; Rodentia; Muridae.